Molecule: long non-coding RNA, 1394 nt
Organism: Acanthopagrus latus (yellowfin seabream)
Lineage: Eukaryota; Metazoa; Chordata; Actinopteri; Spariformes; Sparidae
Exons: 3
Source: RefSeq, a predicted model, not a curated record
UUUUGUCCCUGUAAUUAUUACUUCAAUUAUGUAUAUAAUUCUACAAGCAAAUAACAUUUGAGUGCUUUUACUUUAAAAUGUCGGUUUUCAUGUGGUUUGUUAUUUGGUGUUUGUUUGUAAGAAUGUAUCCUCAAUUUUGCAUAUAAAUUUUACUCUGUAUUCCAAGUAAUAUUCACUAAACUACUCCAUUAACUUUAUUAGUUGAAAUGUGCAAGUAAAAUGUACUUGGGUGAUAUCAGUGAACCUGGCAACCUCCCUUGCACUCGGUGUGUGACGUCAGGCCGUUCGUUGCAUGCUGUGCUGUUGAGUGCCUCUGCCCUCGCACAUGUGGACACCUGAGACCGUGGAUCAGCAGUGGGAUUUUAGUCGACAUGGGACCGCGGAGAACCUAAGGUCAUUUGCUCAUCACUUUGCAAUUUCCAGUCCACAGCUGAGAUAAGGAUGUCAGCCAAGAGGCAGUGAAGGAGGACUGCAGUCAACACUUGAUGAAAGUCAUCGUCAUCUGUCAGAACCUGGAACAGGAAAGCCAAGACCUCAGCUAUGUGUCUGUAGUCAUAGAGGGGAAAGAGGUGUUGGAGGACUGCAGGAGUGUGGCAAAUGCUUGUCUGCUCCUCAUGGGUGUCAUUUAUGCAGUCAAUCUGAGUUACCCACUGAAACUCAAAUACACAUUUGAGGUAUUUCAGAAAAUGCUUCUUGAGCUCGAUGCUCUCAAAAUGUCUUCAAAGGUCCAGGCUCUCCACAGGAAACUACUAGCAUGAGUGUGUUGAAUGCUGCAGUGUUUUGAAUCCAUGUGCCCAUGCACAGGAAAGGUUUUUAGUUCUUGUUCUUCUCACAUUUCCUUCUGUGAUCACAGCGAUCCAGUGUUAGUAGACAGUUGAUUCAGUUGCUGUUGUGAUACCUCUUCUCUGUUCUGAGGUUUAAAAGAAAGGAAUACCCUACAUAUGGGAAAUUGCCAAGGUGUGUGUGCGUGCGUGUGCGUGUGUCAUUUCUGAAAGUCAUUUCUUCCCCAAUUUUUAGAAAUCUGUGAAUAUUUGGAAGAAAGUGUCAUCAGCAGCAGGUCAUGUUUUCUUUUAAGAGGAUAUUCACACUAAUUCUCCAUUGAGUGUGUGGGAGGAUUCCUCACCUGCAAUACAAAGGCUGUGUUUAUUAGAUUUUAAAGGAUGUUCACUGUUUCUCACUGUUUCUCAGCCCUAUUGUGUGUGGACAGGAGUGUGCGUACGUGUGCAUGUGUGCAUGAGUGGGUGUCUGUCUGUAAUGAGACAGAAGUGUGUGUGUGUGUGUGUGUGUUUUCAAUCUUUGUUCAUGUACACCAAAGGAAGGUUAUGAUGUUAUGUAGACAUACAUAUAUGUCAGUGCAAAUUGGAAAAUAAAAUGUCCAUUUGAAAAAUUGAAAA